Molecule: non-coding RNA, 891 nt
Filed under: Proteus penneri
Lineage: Bacteria; Pseudomonadati; Pseudomonadota; Gammaproteobacteria; Enterobacterales; Morganellaceae
Source: RNAcentral
CCUGCGCAGCCAUUUCACGAUCUGAUAAGCCACCACAAAUUUGAAUAAUUCGAUCUGAUAACGUCGAUUUACCGUGGUCAAUAUGUGCGAUAAUGGAAAAGUUACGUAUGUUUUUCAUUCUGAAAUUAUUUUUUCUCUAUUGCUUUGCUCUAUAAAUCUGGCUUUGGAGUCAUUCAUGGACACAAAGCGAAAACUCUAUAUUGCAGGAGUUAUUAUUGAUGACGCAUUCUACACACUAGAGACAUUAUACUCAAAGAAACGUUCAUCAAACACAAACAUUUAUGCUAAGACUUGCAUUUAUUUGUAAUUUUUUUGCGGGUAAUUUCCAGAUAUAGAAACGCGUUAAUUUAAGAUAGAUAUUAUUACAAAAGCAACAUGGCAAAAAAAUAAUGGGGCAAAUGCCCCAUCUGUUUAAUCAACCCAUUAUUUUUGAAAUUGAACGCUAAGUUCAUUCGGUGGAAGCCCUAUUUGCAAUACAAUAGGUUCAAAACCUUCAUCUUUACUCCACCAGGUCGCCACUUUUUUAGCAAAUAAGAAACCAAGGACACCGCCCAUAAGUCCACUGCAAAAAAUAGCAAAUUCACUGGAAAACCAAAGACCCGCAAUGCCUGCAACAAUAAAUAAGCCAAUAAGUGGCGUUAAAUACACUAGCAUUGCGGAAAGAAGUAGAUUAUUUUCAGGAAUACCCACUUCCACUUUUUGCCCUUCGACUAAAGGUUGUGCGACGGGGAGUUCGAGUUGAUGAACUGUCUCAGGCCCUAUUUUAUUUAAUAAAUAAGAGCCACAUGCAGCCCGAGCUUGGCAACUACCACAGCCAGAAGACGAUCCAUAGCGUAAUAACGCUCUUCCUUCAUGCCAAUGUAUAACUGUUGCCCACUCUUUAACCAUAAC